This 543-nucleotide ribosomal RNA is filed under the name uncultured bacterium. RNAcentral's name for it is "bacterial SSU rRNA". It matches the Rfam family "Bacterial small subunit ribosomal RNA", at positions 777 to 1319 of the family's 1533-position model. The record is from RNAcentral.
AAUAGAAUACCCCGGUAGUCCACGCCGUAAACGAUGAGUGCUAAGUGUUGGGGGUUUCCGCCCCUCAGUGCUGCAGCUAACGCAUUAAGCACUCCGCCUGGGGAGUACGGUCGCAAGACUGAAACUCAAAGGAAUUGACGGGGGCCCGCACAAGCGGUGGAGCAUGUGGUUUAAUUCGAAGCAACGCGAAGAACCUUACCAGGUCUUGACAUCCUGGUGACCACUAUGGAGACAUAGUUUCCCCUUCGGGGGCAACGGUGACAGGUGGUGCAUGGUUGUCGUCAGCUCGUGUCGUGAGAUGUUGGGUUAAGUCCCGCAACGAGCGCAACCCUUAUUCUUAGUUGCCAUCAUUCAGUUGGGCACUCUAAGGAGACUGCCGGUGAUAAACCGGAGGAAGGUGGGGAUGACGUCAAAUCAUCAUGCCCCUUAUGACCUGGGCUACACACGUGCUACAAUGGACGGUACAAACGGUUGCCAACCCGCGAGGGGAGCUAAUCCGAUAAAACCGUUCUCAGUUCGGAUUGUAGGCUGCAACUCGCCUAC